RNAcentral lists this ribosomal RNA (63 nucleotides) under Muehlenbeckia tuggeranong. Its description in RNAcentral is "partial 26S ribosomal RNA". It matches the Rfam family "Eukaryotic large subunit ribosomal RNA", at positions 1 to 62 of the family's 3401-position model. Lineage: Eukaryota; Viridiplantae; Streptophyta; Magnoliopsida; Caryophyllales; Polygonaceae. The record is from RNAcentral.
GCGACCCCAGAUCAGGCGGGACUACCCGCUGAGUUUAAGCAUAUCAAUAAGCGGAGGAAAAGA